Astatotilapia calliptera (eastern happy) is the source of this 1043-nucleotide long non-coding RNA. Lineage: Eukaryota; Metazoa; Chordata; Actinopteri; Cichliformes; Cichlidae. The record is from Ensembl.
AAAUUUGAAUAUUUUUUAAUGUCUUAUGAAAAAGAACAGGUGGGCAGUUUUGUAUUUGGCUCACUCCAGACUGCAGAUGUACCAAGCAGAUGUGCCACUGACUGCCAAAAAUUCAAAGUCAGUGUGUUUUCUGGUCACAUGUGCUUAAAUAAGUUGCUGACAUCCACCAAGCCAAAUUAUGCAGCGAAUACUCUUAAUGCUUUUUUUUUUAAGUCUCGCCGAGUGCUUGUGUUUAAACGGUUUAAACUUUUGCCCUUCUCCCCCGUCCCUCUUCUCAGCUGUUUCUCUUUCCCUCUUUCUUUCUCCCCUUCUUUCCCCCAGUCAAGUCUGUCCCGUAUUCAGUAAGUGAAAAUAAAAUAAACAAUAAAAGGUGAAUCAAAUGGACCAUUACGGCAAGGCUGGGAUGGUCAGUUUGGUAAAGUAAAUCCGUUGGGCAUCUUUCUUUGCCUUUAGACAACAAUUCUGAUGGCAAAAGAGCCAAACGGGACAGGCCAAAAAAAAAAAAAAAAUAAAAAAAAUAAAAAAAAUAAAAAAAAUAAACGGCAACUCCAGAAUGACUUCAGCCGUGUUGUUAAAUCGUCACUCAAAAGAAAUUUGCCACUAUGCCUGUGUUCCCUCAGGUCAAACGUCAGUACGCACACAGCAAGCUUCCCCACCACACUACACUUAUUUUCUCUCACAACUCCAUCAAACAUUUGUGUUUAAUCAACCAGUGCAGAACAAAGACGCUUUAGCUUAAGUUCAAAGCUCUGCUUCUUCUUCAGAUCCUUACUGAUAAAACUAGCUCCAGUUUUCAUGGUGUCAGCCUCUGUUUAUAUAGUUUUUCUCGAUAAAUGUCAACCCAUGACCUUUUUUGAAGUAAUUUAGUCUCUACAAAAGGCCAAUGCAGCUCCUGCCUGUGUGUGGUUAUGUUCACUUGUGUGGUGGUCUUUUACUGCUAUAAUCCUUUACAUUUCCACUCCUCACGGGAGCGUGCACGGAUGCGUCGACAAACGCGCAAUACAUCAAGACAAUAAACUAAAAGCGAGAUACAAAUGUUAACA